This 468-nucleotide ribosomal RNA is filed under the name uncultured bacterium. RNAcentral describes it as "partial 16S ribosomal RNA". It matches the Rfam family "Bacterial small subunit ribosomal RNA", at positions 28 to 507 of the family's 1533-position model. The record is from RNAcentral.
GACGAACGCUGGCGGCGUGCUUAACACAUGCAAGUCGAACGGAAAGGCCCUGCUUUUGUGGGGUGCUCGAGUGGCGAACGGGUGAGUAACACGUGAGUAAUCUGCCCUUGACUUUGGGAUAACUUCAGGAAACUGGGGCUAAUACCGGAUAGGAGCUCCUGCUGCAUGGUGGGGGUUGGAAAGUUUCGGCGGUUGGGGAUGGACUCGCGGCUUAUCAGCUUGUUGGUGGGGUAGUGGCUUACCAAGGCCUUGACGGGUAGCCGGCCUGAGAGGGUGACCGGACACAUUAGGACUGAGAUACGGCCCAGACUCCUACGGGAGGCAGCAGAGGAGAAUAGUACACAAUGGGCGGAAGCCUGAUGCAGCAACGCCGCGUGCGGGAAGACGGCCUUGGGGUUGUAAUCCGCUUUCGCCUGUGACGAAGCGUGAGUGACGGUAAUGGGUAAAGAAGCACCGGCUAACUACGUG